CUUUACUGUAGCUUUGUAUUGGACUUUGAACAGAUCUGUGUAGGAUAGGUGGGAGGCUUUGAAGCGGUAGCGCUAGCUAUCGUGGAGCCAACGUUGAAAUACCACCCUGGUGUGUUUGAGGUUCUAACCUUGGUCCAUUAUCUGGAUCGGGGACAGUGCAUGGUAGGCAGUUUGACUGGGGCGGUCUCCUCCCAAAGUGUAACGGAGGAGUUCGAAGGUACGCUAGUUACGGUCGGACAUCGUGACGAUAGUGCAAUGGCAUAAGCGUGCUUAACUGCGAGACCGACAAGUCGAGCAGAUACGAAAGUAGGACAUAGUGAUCCGGUGGUUCUGUAUGGAAGGGCCAUCGCUCAACGGAUAAAAGGUA
This 367-nucleotide ribosomal RNA is filed under the name uncultured organism. RNAcentral's name for it is "bacterial LSU rRNA". It matches the Rfam family "Bacterial large subunit ribosomal RNA", at positions 2099 to 2465 of the family's 2925-position model. The record is from RNAcentral.